Molecule: ribosomal RNA, 522 nt
Filed under: uncultured Acidobacteriota bacterium
Lineage: Bacteria; Pseudomonadati; Acidobacteriota
Description: bacterial SSU rRNA
Rfam family: Bacterial small subunit ribosomal RNA
Source: RNAcentral
UUGAUCCUGGCUCAGAAUCAACGCUGGCGGCGUGCCUAACACAUGCAAGUCGAACGAGAAAGUGGAGCAAUCCAUGAGUAAAGUGGCGACCGGGUGAGUUACACGUGACUAACCUACCUUCAAGUGGGGGAUAACCUCGGGAAACCGGGUCUAAUACCGCAUAACAUCCUUAGAGUGGAAACUCCGGGGAUCAAAGGAGUAAUUCGCUGGAAGAGGGGGUCGCGGCUGAUUAGCUAGUUGGCGGGGUAAUGGCCCACCAAGGCAGAGAUCGGUAGCCGGCCUGAGAGGGCGCACAGCCAUACUGGAACUGAAACACGGUCCAGACUCCUACGGGAGGCAGCAGUGGGGAUUUUUGCGCAAUGGGGGAAACCCUGACGCAGCAACGCCGCGUGGAGGAUGUAGUCCCUUGGGAUGUAAACUUCGCAAGAAUGGGAAGAAUUAGUAGGGGUUAAUACCCUCUAUGAUGACGGUACCAUUUGUAAGCUCCGGCUAACUCCGUUCCAGCAGCCGCGGUAAUAAGGU